AGAAGCAAUCAUAAACGUGGCUCAGUUCAGAUCGUAGGCUGCAUCGCCUACGUGAAGUAGGAAUCGCUAGUAAUCGCAGGUCAGCAUACUGCGGUGAAUACGUUCCCGGGCCUUGUACACACCGCCCGUCACACCAUGGAAGUUGGCCACGCCCGAAGCCGUUACUCCAACCCUUGUGGAGGAGGACGUCGAAGGUGGGGCUGAUGACUGGGGUGAAGUCGUAACAAGGUAGCCGUACCGGAAGGUGCGGCUGGAUCACCUCCUAA
Molecule: ribosomal RNA, 266 nt
Filed under: uncultured Synechococcus sp.
Lineage: Bacteria; Bacillati; Cyanobacteriota; Cyanophyceae; Synechococcales; Synechococcaceae
Description: partial 16S ribosomal RNA
Rfam family: Bacterial small subunit ribosomal RNA
Source: RNAcentral